CGCUGGCGGUGUGCUUAACACAUGCAAGUGGUGCGACGAACCAGAGCUUGCUCUGGGGCAAAGCCGCGAACGGGUGAGUAACACGUGGGUAAUCUACCCCGAUGACCGGGACAACCCGAGGAAACUCGGGCUAAUACCGGAUGUGGUACGGAGACAUAAGUCUCUUUACUAAAGGUAGCUUCGGCUUCCGCAUUGGGAGGGGCCCGCGGCCCAUUAGCUAGUUGGUGGGGUCAAGGCCUACCAAGGCAACGAUGGGUAGCUGGUCUGAGAGGACGAUCAGCCACACUGGGACUGAGACACGGCCCAGACUCCUACGGGAGGCAGCAGUGGGGAAUCUUGCGCAAUGCGCGAAAGCGUGACGCAGCAACACCGCGUGAGGGAAGACGGCCUUAGGGUUGUAAACCUCUCUCAGAUGGGACGAAGGUGAUGCGGUGAAUAGCCGAUGUCAUUGACGGUACCGUCAGAAGAAGCUCCGGCUAACUACGUG
Molecule: ribosomal RNA, 487 nt
Filed under: uncultured bacterium
Lineage: Bacteria
Description: bacterial SSU rRNA
Rfam family: Bacterial small subunit ribosomal RNA
Source: RNAcentral